This 355-nucleotide long non-coding RNA is filed under the name Pan troglodytes (chimpanzee). RNAcentral's name for it is "lincRNA". Lineage: Eukaryota; Metazoa; Chordata; Mammalia; Primates; Hominidae. The record is from RNAcentral.
UUUUAAACCUGCUUGCCACCGUUAACGUUCCUGCGGUGACAUGAAGAGCCAAAUACCAGAGUCUCUCGCCUCUUGGAGUUUAUGGGCCAAUUUCUCCCAAGAUGCGUGAGCUUGUUGUGCCGCCGCCAGUGGACUCGCCAGCGGCUGAGCAGCUCAGAGUGACAGCGACUCAGCGUCUGGAAGCCCCACUGGGUUGUGAAAUGAAGAAGGCCCUCUUUGCCCCUGAUGCAGCCCGGGCGAGCCCCGAGGCUCCAGAAGCGAGCAUCUCCCAGCUCCUAAAGAGCAGACAUAUAUCCUGCCUUUAAGACAAGACUACAAUUGCAAAUCUGAGAAUAUAAAUUACACUUUCAUCUUU